AAGGGCGCAUGGCGGAUGCCUUGGCUCUCGGAGGCGAUGAAGGACGUGAUAAGCUGCGAUAAGCUUUGGGGAGGUGCAAAUGACCUUUGAUCCAGAGAUUUCCGAAUGGGACAACCCAAUAUCUUGAAGAGGUAUUAUCUUACUAUGUAAGAGGCUAACGCAGGGAACUGAAACAUCUUAGUACCUGCAGGAAAAGAAAAUAAACAAUGAUUCCCCCAGUAGUGGCGAGCGAACGGGGAACAGCCCAAACCAUCCAUGUUACGGCAUGGGUGGGGUUGUAGGACUACGCCGUUGCAUGAAGACAUCAGAGAAGAACUUUCUGGAAAGAAAGACCAUAGAGCAUGACAGUUGCGUAUUCGAAUGUUGUCGAAGCAUAGUAGUAUCCUGAGUAGCGCGGAGCACGAGGAAUUCUGCGUGAAUCUGCCGGGACCAUCCGGUAAGGCUAAAUACUCCCGAGAGACCGAUAGCGAACCAGUACCGUGAGGGAAAGGUGAAAAGCACUUCGAACAGAAGAGUGAAAUAGUUCCUGAAACCGUGCGCCUACAAGCGGUCGGAGCUCGUUAAUGAGUGACGGCGUGCCUUUUGCAUAAUGAACCUACGAGUUGCCUUUGCCGGCAAGGUUAAGUGUGACGACACACGUAUCCGAAGCGAAAGCGAGUCUGAACAGGGCGUAUAGUCGGCAGUGGCAGACGCGAAACCAAGUGAUCUACCCUUGGCCAGGUUGAAGGCUGGGUAACACCAGCUGGAGGACCGCACCAAUAAGCGUUGAAAAGCUUCUGGAUGAGCUGAGGGUAGGGGUGAAAGGCUAAUCAAACUUGGAGAUAGCUCGUACUCCCCGAAAUGCAUUUAGGUGCAGCCUUGCGGGUUACUGAUGUGAGGUAGAGCGACUGAUAAGAUGCGAGGGCUUCACCGCCUAUCAAGUCUUGACAAACUCCGAAUGCGCAUCAGUUCUACCGCAGGAGUGAGGGCAUGGGUGCUAAGGUCCGUGCCCGAGAGGAGAAGAAUCCGGACCACCUGCUAAGGUCCCGAAAUGACAGCUAAGUUAAACUAACGAAGUCUGACUGCUAAGACAGCUAGGAUGUUGGCUUGGAAGCAGCCAUUCAUUUAAAGAGUGCGUAACAGCUCACUAGUCGAGGAGUCGGGCGUGGAUAAUAAUCGGGUAUCAAGUUGUCUACCGAAGCAGUGGGAUCAUUAAUAUGAUCGGUAGGGGAGCAUUCCAGUCGGCGUCGAAGGCGUACCGUGAGGUAUUCUGGAGCGUCUGGAAAAGCAAAUGUAGGUAUAAGUAACGAUAAAGGGGGCGGGAAACCCCCUCGCCGAAAGACUAAGGUUUCCUGAUCAACGCUAAUCGGAUCAGGGUCAGUCGGGUCCUAAGGCUCAGCCGAACGGCGAUGCCGAUGGCAGAAACGGUUAAUAUUCCGUUACUACCUUCAGGAGUGACGUGGAGACGCAGUAGUGACAGUGCCGCCAUCUGACGGAAUAGAUGGUUGAAGGGUGUAGGAGUCGAUCAUGGCAGGCAAAUCCACCAUGAGAUCCGAACCUGAUAGUAUGCCGCGUCCUUCGGGACAAGGCAAUAGUGCGCGUAAGCAUGCUGCCGAGAAAAUCCGCUAAACUUAAUCCUGGAGGUACCCGUACCGCAAACGGACACACGUAGUCGGGAUGAAUAUUCUAAGGCGCUUGAGUGAUUCACGGUUAAGGAACUAGGCAAACUGACCCUGUAACUUCGGGAUAAAGGGUCCCUACCCUUUUAUGGGAGGGCGCAGAGAAUCGGUCCAGGCAACUGUUUAACAAAAACACAGGGCUGUGCCAAAUCGAAAGAUCCAGUAUACAGCCUGACACCUGCCCGGUGCUGGAAGGUUAAGAGGAGAUGUCAUCGAUAAGAGAAGCGUUGAAUUGAAGCCCCAGUAAACGGCGGCCGUAACUAUAACGGUCCUAAGGUAGCGAAAUUCCUUGUCGGGUAAGUUCCGACCUGCACGAAUGGUGUAAUGAUCUGGACGCUGUCUCAACCGUGAGCUCAGUGAAAUUGUAGUAUCGGUGAAGAUGCCGAUUACCCGCGAUGGGACGAAAAGACCCCGUGAACCUUUACUAUAGCUUAUCAUUGAAUCUGGGCACGUGAUGUGUAGGAUAGGUCGGAGGCUUUGAAGCAGGUACGCCAGUAUUUGUGGAGCCGCUGUUGAAAUACGACCCUUUAUUUGUUUGGAUUCUAACCCGUGGAUACGGGGACAUUGAUUGGUGGGUAGUUUGACUGGGGUGGUCGCCUCCAAAAGCGUAACGGAGGCUUCUAAAGGUGCCCUCCGGCCGAUUGGUAACCGGCCUUAGAGUGUAAUGGCAUAAGGGCGCUUGACUGGGAGACUGACAAGUCGAUCAGGUAGGAAACUAGAGCAUAGUGAUCCGGUGUUUCCGUAUGGAAGGGACAUCGCUCAAAGGAUAAAAGGUACUCCGGGGAUAACAGGCUGAUCCCUCCCAAGAGCUCAUAUCGACGGAGUGGUUUGGCACCUCGAUGUCGGCUCGUCACAUCCUGGGGCUGGAGAAGGUCCCAAGGGUUGGGCUGUUCGCCCAUUAAAGUGGCACGCGAGCUGGGUUCAGAACGUCGUGAGACAGUUCGGUCUCUAUCUAUCGUGGGCGUAUGAAAUUUGCGUGGCUCUGACACUAGUACGAGAGGACCGUGUUGGACAGACCUCUGGUUUGCCGGUUGUGCCGCCAGGUGCAUUGCCGGGUAUCUAAGUCUGGAUCGGAUAAGUGCUGAAAGCAUCUAAGUACGAAGCCGGCCACAAGAUUAGAUUUCUCAGGGUCGUUGUAGACUACGACGUUGAUAGGAUGCAGGUGUAAAGAUGGAGACAUCAAAGCCGAGCAUUACUAAUUGCCCGUUCACUUUCCUUA
Molecule: ribosomal RNA, 2877 nt
Filed under: synthetic metagenome
Description: bacterial LSU rRNA
Rfam family: Bacterial large subunit ribosomal RNA
Source: RNAcentral